CUCAUGGAGAGUUCGAUCUUGGCUCAGGAUGAAUGUUGGUGGCAUGCUUAACACAUGCAAGUCGAAUGGGAAGUGGUGUUUCUAGUGUCGGAUGGGUGAGUAAUGCGUAAGAACCUGUCCUUGGGAGGGGAACAACAACUGGAAAAGACUGCUAAUACCACGUAGGCUAAGAAGCAAAAGGGAAAAUCCGCCCGAUGAUGGGCUCGCAUCUGAUUAGCUAGUUGGUGAGACAAUAGCUUACCAAGGCAAUGAUCGGUAGCUAGUCUGAGAGGAUGAUCAACCACACUGGGAUUGAGACACGACCUAGAAUUUUACGAGAGACAACAGUGGGGAAUUUUUCGCAAUGGGCAAAAUCUUGAUGGAGCAAUGUUGUGUGGAGGUAGAAGGCCCACGGGUGGUGAACUUCUUUUCCCGAAGAAGAGGCAAUGAUAGUAUAUGAGGAAUAAGCAUCGGCUAACUCUAUGCUAAUAGUCAUAGUAAUACAGAGGAUGCAAGUGUUAUUCGGAAUGAUUGGGCGAAAAGCGUCAGUAGGUGGCUUUUUAAGUCUGCUUUCAAAUCCCAAGGCUCAACCCUAAACAGGCGGUGGAAACUACUAAGCUGGAGUACCAUAGGAGUAGAGGGAAUUUUUGAUGGAUCAGUGAAAUUCAUAGAGAUUGGAAAGAAUACCAAAGACAAGAGCACUCUAUUGGGCUAACAUUGAUACUGAGAGACGAAAGCUAGGGGAACUAAUGGGAUUAGAUACCCAGUAGUCCUAGUCGUAAAUGAUGGAUACUUGGCGUUGUGUGUAUCGACCCAUGAAGUGUUGUAGCUAACGUGUUAAGUAUCCCAUCUAGGGAGUAUGUUUGUAAGAAUGAAACUCGAAGGAAUUGACGGGGGGCCACACAAGCAGUGGAGCAUGUGGUUUAAUUCAAUGCAAAGUGAAGAACCUUACCAGGUAUUGACAUGUCGCAAAUCCUCUUGAAAAAGAGGGGUGCUUUCGGGAACUCGGAUACAAGUGAUGCAUGGCUAUUGUCGGCUCAUGUCGUAAUGUGUUGGGUUAAGUCCCACAACAAGUGCAACCCUCAUGUUUAGUUGCCAUCGUUGAGUUUGGAACCCUGAGUAGACUGUUGGUGAUAAGCCGGAGGAAAGGGAUGAUGGCGUCAACUCAUCAUGCCCCUUAUGCUUUGGGCAACACAUAUGCUACAAUGGUCGGGACAAAGGGUCGCGAUCCUGCAGGGGUAAGCUAACUCCAAAAACUCGUCCUUAGUUUGGAUUGCAGGCUACAACUCACCUGCAUGAAGUUGGAAUUGCUAGUAAUCAUUGGUUAGCCAUACGACGGUGAAUUUAUUCCCAGGCCUUGUACACACCACCCGUCACACUAUGAGAGUUGGUCAUGCCCGAAGUCAUUACCUUAAUCACAAGGAGAGGGAUGACGAAGGCAGGGUUAGUGAUUGGAGUGAAGUCGUAACAAGGUAGCCGUGUUGGAAGGUGCAGCUGGAUCGCCUCAUUU
Molecule: ribosomal RNA, 1489 nt
Organism: Vitis vinifera (wine grape)
Lineage: Eukaryota; Viridiplantae; Streptophyta; Magnoliopsida; Vitales; Vitaceae
Rfam family: Bacterial small subunit ribosomal RNA
Source: Rfam